GAAUUUUGGACAAUGGGGGCAACCCUGAUCCAGCCAUCCCGCGUGUGCGAUGAAGGCCUUCGGGUUGUAAAGCACUUUUGGCAGGGAAGAAACGGCUCUGCCUAAUACCUGGAGCUGCUGACGGUACCUGCAGAAUAAGCACCGGCUAACUACGUGCCCGCAGCCGCGGUAAUACGUAGGGUGCAAGCGUUAAUCGGAAUUACUGGGCGUAAAGCAUUCACAAGCGGUUCGGCAAGAAGGAUAUGAAAUCCCAGGGCUUAACCUUGAAACUGCAUUCUUAACUGCCGGGCUAGAGUAUGUCAGAGGGUAGUAGAAUUCCUCUUGUCACAGUCAACUGCUUACCGAUACGGCCCACUACCUAUGGCGACGGCAUCCCCCUGGGAUAAUACUGACGCUCAUGCACGAAAGCGUGGGGAGCAAA
This 421-nucleotide ribosomal RNA is filed under the name uncultured bacterium. RNAcentral describes it as "partial 16S ribosomal RNA". It matches the Rfam family "Bacterial small subunit ribosomal RNA", at positions 359 to 772 of the family's 1533-position model. The record is from RNAcentral.